GAGAACGCUUGCGGCGGGCCUAACACAUGCAAGUCGAACGGGCAGGGCAACCUGUCAGUGGCGCACGGGUGCGUAACACGUGGGUAAUCAACCCUCCAGACUGGGACAACCCGGGGAAACUCGGGCUAAUACCGGAUGUGGCGCGCGGGUCCUCGGACCUGCGCGUGAAAGCUUCGCAAGGGGGCACUGGAGGACGAGCCCGCGGCCCAUCAGCUCGUUGGUGAGGUAACGGCUCACCAAGGCGAAGACGGGUAGCUGGUCUGAGAGGAUGAUCAGCCACACUGGAACUGAGACACGGUCCAGACUCCUACGGGAGGCAGCAGUGGGAAUAUUGCGCAAUGGGCGGAAGCCUGACGCAGCCACGCCGCGUGUGCGAUGAAGGUCUUCGGAUCGUAAGCACUGUGGGGGGAGAAGAAUCAAGCCGGUGAAGAGCCGGCCCUGACGGUAUCCCCUUAGCAAGCACCGGCUAACUCCGUGCCAGCAGCCGCGGUAA
Molecule: ribosomal RNA, 493 nt
Filed under: uncultured Myxococcales bacterium
Lineage: Bacteria; Pseudomonadati; Myxococcota; Myxococcia; Myxococcales
Description: bacterial SSU rRNA
Rfam family: Bacterial small subunit ribosomal RNA
Source: RNAcentral